This 2523-nucleotide long non-coding RNA is filed under the name Triticum aestivum (bread wheat). Its description in RNAcentral is "long non-coding RNA (TAES_LNC000015)". The record is from RNAcentral. Lineage: Eukaryota; Viridiplantae; Streptophyta; Magnoliopsida; Poales; Poaceae.
AAAAAGUAUAUUAUAUUACCACUUUGCCAUAUUUAUUCACAGUUAAGAGGGAGAAUGAUAGAUCCAUCACCAGCCGCAGAAGAAUAGAAAGGAAGUAACACUAAUUCUCAUAUCUUGAACCAGUGUGCUGCCGUGACCCGUCACUAAGGUCAAACGUUAUUCCCCAUCGCCACCGCCACACUGCUGUUCUGCCCCUGCUACUGAAUCGAGGCCGAGUGACAUGCACACAGUGGUGCACUGCGGUCAUGAGGAAAGGCAACCCAAAUUUUGUCUUAAUUCGCUCUAUCUCAUAAUCCCUCGCCUUCAGUAGGUUGUAUAGCUUCUUGUACUCUACAAUAUGAUAGCACAUGACAUGAGAAUUAAUGAUAGCACAUAGUGACAUGAGAAUUAGUGGUACUGCAUGUCUCCUUCAGGAAGCUUGUUUUCUAGCAUGUCAUCAAAACACCUAAACAACAAUUAUCAUUAAUAAUUGUUAUUUCCUUGUAAUCAAACAACAAAGGAGCUGCUCGAUCAAGUAUUUUCCAAGCCAAUUCAACCAACAAUGUUGAAUGGUUUUGCACUACUGAAAUUGGUCAUGACCAUCUUCAAUCUGAAGGAGCACGUCUCAAAAUUAAUUAAGGAAAACUUGCACAAGCAUUAGUAGUCUAGUACUAUGAUCUAGGGGCUAUUGAUCUUAAAAACAAGUGUAACCAAAUUCAAGCAUAAAAAGCUGAACCAAACAUCUCCACUCCAUUGCCAAGUACAAACAAGCUGUCUAUGUACGAAUCUCAUCUCCCCCUCCUGAAAAAAAUGUUGAAAUCGUGGUACUGGUAGCACAAAAAAUGCAUGUUCGAUCGCACUAAGCCUAUGAGUGACUCUACUGAUUGCUAGCAAUCACUGACGAUAUUACCCUAACAAAAUCUCUCCCCAGCAAUCCGUUUAACUUGCAUAGAGAAGAACCGCCUUUCAAAUGACGUGCUCAAACUAAUACAUAAUUCAGUUUGCAUGCAUUUACUAAAAUCGAAUUGUCUAAUGCAUGCACAUUCUCACUGGCGCUGCUUAUAGAGAAGCUAAAUACAUAAUUUAUUAUCCAGACUAAUUUUUUGCGAUCAGUGAGGUUAAUAGUCCCCAAAUCUGGCUGAAGCCAGCAUCAUGGAUAUUUCUAGAUUGUGUAAACAUUUACUGCCGGGAAAAAAAUGUAAACACCUCUGCUCCUCCUUGACAUCUGUCGCCGUCUCCACUACCAUGUCAUUGGGUCGUGGUCAGUGUGGCGGAGGACGAACUCGAUCUAAGCCAUUAAAAAUGUAUGAUACAAAAACAAAGCACUCCAUCCGUUUGCCUAAAAUGGAUCUGUAUGAAAAUUCUUGUAGUUCUUAAGUAUUUCACAAAUCUCGGCAGCAAGUAACCAUCAAUGUUGAGACUCCUUCAAUAUCCGCACCACCUCUGUUCAUAAGUAAUUGAAAUAUAAAAUUAAAUUCAAUAUAAUAAAAACUGAGUGACCUGAAAGUGGAUUUUAAAACAUUCGAAUGGAAAUGUCACGAGGAUUGCUUUCCCAAUCUUCAGAAAUUGAAACAUGUAUCAUCAUCAAAAUUCAGUUACAGAGUUCAAUUUCAUAUUUCAGGUUCUCCCAGAAAACAUGAUAACGCAGAGGCUUCAAUCUAAAUCCAUAAGUGACUAAUUUCAAGUGUGGGGUACUAAGCAUUCCAACUGUGAAACUAAAUUCAAUCCAGACCGAAAUACAGAAGAACUAAAUAAGGUUCAUCUUGGCAUAGAUAAACCACAACUUUUAGAAGUGCAAGGCAUUGGAAAUUCAUCUCCAGAACAUCGAAAACGCAAAGUAAGUUGCGAAAUAUUUCCAAACAUCUAGAGCAAAAUUGUCUGAGUUUCUGACGCAUUAUCCACUGAAUUACCUCAACAACUGCAUCCAGUAGCAGCCACCCAAAAAUAUCUCCCGAAUACAUCCUCGCAGAAAAACCCCUAGUGCUUAGCUCAAAUCAGCAUGAAACUACAUGAGGAUCCAAUUCCAACCAAAGCAAUCUAACGGGGAAGGGAGACGGUGGAGAUGCAGAGGCCCAGGCCACGAUGCGCACCUUGGCCUCCUCGAUCAGAUAGUCAAUACUCCCUGUCGCCUCCGCUCCAUGGCUCGGCCACUCAUCACAAGUGGUGGAGGAAGAUGCCCACAGUGGUCAGCCCGUCCUGGCUGUGCAAGCGGCCCCGGAUCCGGGAGUGGUCCAACCUGUGCAUGGCGCUGCUACUCCUUUCCGCCGGGUUGUGGAUCCCAGCGGCAUCAAGGUAGGAGAAGAGCUAUGCACAACCGCGUCGCUCGUGAUGAUACAUGAACGGCGGACCAGGUUGAGGCCCUCAUCAAACUCGUGAUCUGACUCAGAGUACAAGCCCAUUGAAGCGGCGACUGUGGUGUUGGCAGAGGUGGAGCUAGCAGCUUGUAGGGGAAUGAAGAAGCUUCAUCCGCGGCCAUGAUGCAGACGAGCGGCGACCGAUUUUUCUCGGGAGACCAGGAGGGAGACGGGGAAUACUGGAUCGGGG